AACGAACGCUGGCGGCAGGCCUAACACAUGCAAGUCGAGCGCACCUUCGGGUGAGCGGCGGGCGGGUUAGUAACGCGUGGGAACAUACCCUUUACUACGGAAUAGCCUCGGGAAACUGAGAGUAAUACCGUAUACGCCCUUCGGGGGAAAGAUUUAUCGGUAAAGGAUUGGCCCGCGUUUGAUUAGAUAGUUGGUGGGGUAAUGGCCUACCAAGUCUACGAUCAAUAGCUGGUUUGAGAGGAUGAUCAGCAACACUGGGACUGAGACACGGCCCAGACUCCUACGGGAGGCAGCAGUGGGGAAUCUUAGACAAUGGGCGCAAGCCUGAUCUAGCCAUGCCGCGUGAGUGACGAAGGCCUUAGGGUCGUAAAGCUCUUUCGCCAGAGAUGAUAAUGACAGUAUCUGGGUAAAAGAAACCCCGGCUAACUCCGUGCCAGCAGCCCGCGGUAAUACGGAGGGGGUUAGCGUUGUUCGGAAUUACUGGGCGUAAAGCGUACGUAGGCGGAUUGGAAAGUUGGGGGUGAAAUCCCGGGGCUCAACCCCGGAACUGCCUCCAAAACUAGCAGUCUAGAGUUCGAGAGAGGUGAGUGGAAUUCCAAGUGUAGAGGUGAAAUUCGUAGAUAUUUGGAGGAACACCAGUGGCGAAGGCGGCUCACUGGCUCGAUACUGACGCUGAGGUACGAAAGUGUGGGGAGCAAACAGGAUUAGAUACCCUGGUAGUCCACACCGUAAACGAUGAAUGCCAGACGUCAGG
RNAcentral lists this ribosomal RNA (754 nucleotides) under uncultured Pseudomonadota bacterium. RNAcentral's name for it is "bacterial SSU rRNA". It matches the Rfam family "Bacterial small subunit ribosomal RNA", at positions 28 to 827 of the family's 1533-position model. The record is from RNAcentral. Lineage: Bacteria; Pseudomonadati; Pseudomonadota.